UACGGGGGGGGCAAGCGUUGUUCGGAAUUACUGGGCGUAAAGGGCUCGUAGGUGGCCAACUAAGUCAGACGUGAAAUCCCUCGGCUUAACCGGGGAACUGCGUCUGAUACUGGAUGGCUUGAGGUUGGGAGAGGGAUGCGGAAUUCCAGGUGUAGCGGUGAAAUGCGUAGAUAUCAGGAGGAACACCGGUGGCGAAGGCGGUUCUCUGGGCCUUACCUGACGCUGAGGAGCGAAAGCAUGGGGAGCAAACAGG
This 253-nucleotide ribosomal RNA is filed under the name uncultured bacterium. RNAcentral describes it as "partial 16S ribosomal RNA". It matches the Rfam family "Bacterial small subunit ribosomal RNA", at positions 524 to 776 of the family's 1533-position model. The record is from RNAcentral.